Marmota flaviventris (yellow-bellied marmot) is the source of this 337-nucleotide long non-coding RNA. RefSeq lists it as uncharacterized. Lineage: Eukaryota; Metazoa; Chordata; Mammalia; Rodentia; Sciuridae. The record is from RefSeq and is a predicted model, not a curated record.
GGGAGCCACUGGGCUUCGGCAAUCAAAGGGCGGGGCUGGCUGGAUCCUGGGUCUGUUCCUUGGUGCGACCUCUUCGAGGACAGGAAGAAUCGAGAAGGAUUCCCAAGAGCUUGGAGGGUAUGCAGACUUUUCUAGUCUGUGCAGCCAUUUGCAGCUUACAAAAAAGGCUCAGAGCUCUCCAUCACCAUCAGAAAGAAGAGGAAGCUGCAGGCCCUUGGUGCCUGACUCUUGAGUCCAGCUCUCUCAAGAUUGCUGUCACAGCCCACAGCUGUGCAGAGCUUUGCAGUCUGUAGCUUGCAGGGGACUUUGUAUGUAAUAUCUCCAUUGAUUCACCUGG